AGGUCCAGAAUGUCAAUUUGCAACUGUAAAGUCUAAAUAACAAAUUUAAUAACAAUAACUUUGGUAUAAAUGUGUAUACCUAUAAAAUUGAACAAUUUGAGCAGAUUUGCGUUUUUCAAUGAAAAAAACUGAAAAAGUUUUAUAAUUUUUAAAGAGGACUUCUAAAGACUUUAGGGACUUCAAAAAAACGAAUCGAAAUGAAUAACAUUACUCUCGUCGAGGAAAUAGAGAACGGAAAUGGCCGAGAGUUUUGUUGGUGCACAACAUGGCUUUGGAACUUUGCCAGGAUUAACAAGAUGCACAAGUGUUUGAACAAUUGCGUGAUUUGUCGCAUUCAUAUGUGCAUUUAAUGGAAAAUUACAUUCCCCACUGCAAUAAUAUGCGUCAUAACCGUCGGGUGCAAUAAUCCAGUCCUAAAAAACAGAGAUAAAAGUUCAAGGAUAAAUAUACAGAUUUCCGAAGGAGUAGUCUAGCCGUGAGUUUCGCAAUAAUCUGAGAGUCAAGGACGUGCAACCAGAUUCUACAAUAAACUCAUUCUAUAAGACAGAAAGGAAGAAUUAUUCAGAAAACAAGAAACAUGAAUGAGGGGAGGACGAAGAAAAAUACUCAAUUUUGAAAUUUUCAUUCGAAUUGAAAAUUGAGAGAGAGAGAGAGAGAAAUUUCUACACUCUGGUGAUAGAGUCAAAAUGAAAAAAAAAAUUGAUCAUUGUAGGAACAAAUUCACAAAGUCCAAUAAAUGAUAAAAUGAAGACAUCAUAGGAAGAAAUAGAAAUAGAAAAAAAUAUACACAAUAGAAAAAAAAAUCUAUACAGUGACAAAUGAAUCGAAUAGUUGGGGAGGACCUUCAAUAAGAUUUUGUCCAAGUUCUUUAUAACCAUCAUCAGCAACUUCAUCAUCAUCAUUAUCUUUAUGUGAGAGUGAAGUAUAUAACUGGAUAUUAAGAGAGAAAGAAAAUAUAUGUAUACGUGUCGCAAUAGAAAGACGCACCUCUCCUCGAGAGGCACAUAUAUACACAACAAUUCUCUCGAUGUUAAAAUAAAAGUCGAUGUAUAUGCCGGUGAGCUACCAAUACAAAAUCAGAAUAUGUAUAUAAAUAUAAAGGUGUAGCACCGAUCUUGUGUUUUAUAUUGAAUGAUUAAAGGUAAACCGGUUGCCCAGUGGGACCUGGGGGAGAGUUACGCGAAUGCUCGAAAGAGAGACCUGUGAGGAGUUCGCGGUGAGGGACGUAAGAAACAAAAUGAUCUAGGCGCGGCAAACAACAAACUAUACGCGCCUCAUUCUCUAUAGACCCUCUCUUUUUAUUAUUAACACUCUCCUUGCUCUCCUUGCCAUAUGAACGAGCUUAUUAUCCCCAGGAAUAAAAAAGAAUCCCUGUUAAAAUUGGGUCACAUGAUCCUUUCUUUUCUUCUUUUUUUUCUUCUUUUUUUCUCAAAAAAAAAAACCACAGUAACAAAAAAACAUCAUCUCUUGGUUUUUUUCCCCCAAAUUUCCAUCUCUUGUUGUAUAUUUAAAUCCCAUAAUAUAUUCGGUUUCAGUUACAAACAUAUCGAUUGAAGAUCUAAUAGUUUCAACAUUCAAAAUAGUUUUUCAUUUGGAAAAAAUUGAAUUUCGCCUUUUUAAACUUUUAUU
This is a long non-coding RNA of Leptopilina heterotoma, 1629 nucleotides long. RefSeq lists it as uncharacterized. The transcript has 5 exons. Lineage: Eukaryota; Metazoa; Arthropoda; Insecta; Hymenoptera; Figitidae. The record is from RefSeq and is a predicted model, not a curated record.